This 468-nucleotide ribosomal RNA is filed under the name uncultured bacterium. RNAcentral's name for it is "partial 16S ribosomal RNA". It matches the Rfam family "Bacterial small subunit ribosomal RNA", at positions 28 to 507 of the family's 1533-position model. The record is from RNAcentral.
GAUGAACGUUGACAGAAUGCUUAACACAUGCAAGUCUACUUGAAUUUGGGUUUUUUAACUUCGAUUUGGGUGGCGGACGGGUGAGUAACGCGUAAAGAACUUGCCUCACAGUUAGGGACAACAUUUGGAAACGAAUGCUAAUACCUGAUAUUAUGAAUAUAUGGCAUCAUAUAAUUAUGAAAGCUAUAAGCGCUGUGAGAGAGCUUUGCGUCCCAUUAGCUAGUUGGAGAGGUAACGGCUCACCAAGGCGAUGAUGGGUAGCCGGCCUGAGAGGGUGAACGGCCACAAGGGGACUGAGACACGGCCCUUACUCCUACGGGAGGCAGCAGUGGGGAAUAUUGGACAAUGGACCAAGAGUCUGAUCCAGCAAUUCUGUGUGCACGAUGACGUUUUUCGGAAUGUAAAGUGCUUUCAGUUGGGAAGAAAAAAAUGACGGUACCAACAGAAGAAGUGACGGCUAAAUACGUG